Long non-coding RNA from Cicer arietinum (chickpea), 530 nucleotides. RefSeq lists it as uncharacterized. NCBI's taxonomy places the organism in Eukaryota, Viridiplantae, Streptophyta, Magnoliopsida, Fabales, Fabaceae. The record is from RefSeq and is a predicted model, not a curated record.
AAGUUCAUCUCAAGCCCUUCCUCUGUUCCAUUACUAAGAAAGUUAAGGAUCUUGAUGAGCAAUCUUCAGACAGUUGAUUUGAAAGGCCUUAUAAAUCAACAAAAAUUAGCAUUUUGGAUCAACUUGUAUCAUGCAUAUGUGCAAUUUUGGUUGUAAGCCAUGGGGAUCCCCUGCAAAUCUUGCAAACAAUUCUGCUUGCUGCUAAUAAACACAAGGGUCCCUCUUAUGAUGACUUAGCUUCAAUGUUAGAGGCAGUUUAGGUGGCACCGAUCUCGUCCCAGCACUGCCAAUACACAAUGCAAACUGGAGAGCUCAAGGGAGUCAUUUAAGGUUUAGCAUAGAGCCAACUUACUCUUUUGGUUGGAUUUGGAUCCCAUAUUCUAUUAUUUACUUUUAUAUUCAUAACCAAAAAUUUUUGGAGUAUUUAUCAAAUAUUUUGUUUAGGAAGAUGAUUAGUUCUAUAUAAAAUUAGUUUGCAAUUUAUCACAAUAAAUGUUAAGAAAUUUAUUAUAUCUUCUGUUGAAAGUUUA